GUUGAGGUUUUUCAAUGGCUCGUCCCGUCAAAUGGUCACGCGAUCUGCACUCCAUUCGCAAGCUAGCUUGAGGUGCUAGCACCGCAAGGCAUAGGGGUUCAAGUCCCCUCCUCCGCACCA
RNAcentral lists this transfer RNA (120 nucleotides) under Granulicella mallensis. Its description in RNAcentral is "tRNA-Leu". The record is from RNAcentral. Lineage: Bacteria; Pseudomonadati; Acidobacteriota; Terriglobia; Terriglobales; Acidobacteriaceae.